RNAcentral lists this ribosomal RNA (461 nucleotides) under uncultured bacterium. Its description in RNAcentral is "bacterial SSU rRNA". It matches the Rfam family "Bacterial small subunit ribosomal RNA", at positions 8 to 507 of the family's 1533-position model. The record is from RNAcentral.
AGAGUUUGAUCAUGGCUCAGAUUGAACGCUGGCGGCAGGCUUAACACAUGCAAGUCGAGCGGAGACUUCGGUCUUAGCGGCGAACGGGUGAGUAACACGUUGGAACCUGCCCCAAAGUGAGGAAUAAGCCACCGAAAGGUGGUCUAAUACUUCAUAAUAUCCAUCUCGUAUGGAUUAAAGCUUUAUGCGCUUUGGGAGGGGCCUGCGUAACAUUAGCUUGUUGGUGAGGUAAAAGCUCACCAAGGCUUCGAUGUUUAACUGGUUUGAGAGGAUGACCAGUCACACUGGGACUGAGAUACGGCCCAGACUCCUACGGGAGGCAGCAGUAAGGAAUCUUCCACAAUGGGGGCAACCCUGAUGGAGCAAUACCGCGUGCAGGAUGAAGCGUUUCGGCGUGUAAACUGCUUUUAUCACCGAAGAUUAUGACUGUAGGUGAAGAAUAAGGACCGGCUAACUACGUG